This 440-nucleotide ribosomal RNA is filed under the name uncultured bacterium. Its description in RNAcentral is "partial 16S ribosomal RNA". It matches the Rfam family "Bacterial small subunit ribosomal RNA", at positions 338 to 795 of the family's 1533-position model. The record is from RNAcentral.
CCUACGCGAGGCAGCAGUGGGGAAUAUUGCACAAUGGGGGAAACCCUGAUGCAGCGACGCCGCGUGAGUGAAGAAGUAAUUCGUUAUGUAAAGCUCGAUCAGCAGGGAAGAAAAUGACGGUACAUGAGUAAGAAGCCCCGGCUAACUACGUGCCAGCAGCAGCGGUACUACGUAGGGGGCGAGCGUUAUCCGGAUUUACUGGGUGUAAAGGGAGCGUAGACGGCAGUGCAAGUCUGGAGGUAAAGGCGGGGGCCCAACCCCCGGACUGCUCUGGAAACUGUACGGCUUGAGUGCAGGAGAGGUUAGUGGAAUUCCUGGUGUAGCGGUGAAAUGCGUAGAUAUUAGGAGGAACACCAGUGGCGAAGGCAGCUUACUGGACUGUAACUGACGUUGAGGCUCGAAAGCGUGGGGAGUAAACAGGAUUAGAUACCCGGGUAGUC